UUCCCUCCCCUUCCCUCCCUUCUUGUCCUUUUCUUUCCCCCUCUCUUCUCUUCUCCCCUCUUCUUCUCCCCUCUUCUCCUUCCUUUCACGGAUCUGAACGCAGAAGGGGGAGAAGCGUAACUCCAGAUCGCUUCAGUCGCUCUGGCAGCUUGUGUCACUGGCUGAUCCAUGGGAAUCCAUCAGCAGCAAUCGGAAGCGUUCCAGCUGCUGUGGGACCAGUCAGGGAACAGUCUCAAACUGGGAAACGCUGACUUCCUUCCGCGGCUCAGACAGGUGACUUUCAAUUUCGCCCUGGCUGGGUUGUGUCCCCUUGCUCUGUCCCCACCUACACGGCAGUUUGGUUUAGAAGCAGCAGCACGGUUUGGCAGUAGUUCCACUACUUCCAUUUUCGGUGAUUUGGCUUGGCUCGCCAAGUGGUUUCUGUCAACAGAACACAAGAAGGAGAUUUUGGUUAGAAACAACUACAUGAGGAGCUCCUUUCCACAUGGGCAAUGAAUACUUAUCCUUUCCUAAUGGAGACUACAGUGGAAGAGAUAAGGACAGAUCAUUCCGAGAGAUUUUUCAGAGAAUUGUCCCUUGGGGGUGCUUAGUCCAGAGGACCAGAGUUAAUCUGUCCAAAGUACACCAUGGAAGCACUCUGAAUUACUUCCUAACAGAAGCAUGGCCUUACCAUGUCUGAUACGGCUUUGGCUGGUUUCAGUGUUCUUCUUCACUUCAUAAAUACCUAAAUUAAGUACUGUCCUAUCAAGCAAAUACCUUAUUCUCUUGAUAUCUCUGAGUUGAUGGAAGACCCAAGACACUUGGCUCUUCACAUCAUUGGAAGAACCAAGUGUACUUCCAAUAUUCACAGCUUCGGAGGAAAUGGAGAUGAGGUUGAGAGUGGAUGAAAAACACCAAGUGUUACUUCCCAUCUUCACAGCUUCUAAGCAAGUGGAGAUGAGGCUGUGCAAGAACCAAACAAACUGCUGAUCCAGAAGCAGCCUAAAGACUGUCUUUAACCAGGGCCUUGCAUUCUUCAUCUUUAUACCCUUACUCGCCUUCAAGGGCAUGAUCGUUAUCUUAUUGACUUCCUACCACUACAGCAACGCACCUGCUUCUCUCACAAAACUUACGGGUGGGAACUGGAAAGAUUCACCAGCAUUCUGUAUUUCACUCCUCAUCUCAAUUCUCUUUUGGCCUGCGAAGCUUUUCAGAUCAGAGAUGAAGAUCAGAUGUAAUCUGGAGUUUGGGAUACUGCAAAGGAAAAGAAGAAUCAUCCUGAGAACUCUUUUCAACCCCACUUGCAAGCGCCAAAGUCAAGAAUACCAAAAGGAAAAAGGAUGCCACUUGAUCAUGACCAAGAAGAACCAGCAAAAGUCGGGUGAAAAAUGAAAUGAAAAAUGUUAAGGCCAGGCAGCUUGCUCACUGCAAGUGCUAAUCUGAAAGCAGAUGGAGUGCAUCUUCAUACACUCCGUCCUGAGACACUCCACUCAACAGGCCAGCCCAGCUGAUGAAGCGCAUUGCUGUCCUGAAGUUUAAUGUGAUGGGCUACUUUCAAGUCUCUUGUUUAUGCUGUAGUACUUGAGGUCUAUGGCAGGACCACAGCACACUCUUAUUUGUCUACCCUUCUUUCUUGAUCGUGUGUGGGAAAGAGAGAACGUGCAGAGGCCCUCAGC
Anas platyrhynchos (mallard) is the source of this 1655-nucleotide non-coding RNA. The record is from RefSeq and is a predicted model, not a curated record. Lineage: Eukaryota; Metazoa; Chordata; Aves; Anseriformes; Anatidae.